GGAAAGGCUUCGUGCUGCAGUGGUGGGUGGUGGAGAUUGGAGGAGGAGAGCCACCACCAUUUUGUGCAGAGUCUUGACAAGCUGCACGAGAACCGAGUACCUCACCCUGGACAAAGGAUAAUAAUGAUGGGCGGAAAGACUAGGAAACAUGGAAAGCACACAUUUGUGAAGAUGAGCCUUGGGAAGGGAAGAUACUUCUAUUUGCCCAUGGAGACCGUUGAUCUCUAAAAUAAACACCGACUACUGUCCAGCUGCAUGCAGGCUUCACUAAUGCUGUGUCUGGUGCCUAUAAAAAUCUACACUCUCCUACUUGGCCUGUCAUUCCAGUGGUGAGCAGGUAGGCUAUAUUUUACUCACAGUGACGCCCAUGUUGGGCGGGGCAUAAGAUGAACAGCUUAGGGCCAUAGUAACUUUGGUAGUUCUGGAAACAGAGUUUCAAUCAAGUAGUCCACUCAGGCCUUAAACUCAGGAUCCUUGAGCCUGGCCUGCCUCUCAAGUACUUGGAUUACACCACACCCUACUGACCUUUGCAUUUAAGGGGACUCCUCCACCCCACCCCAACAAAGCAAGCCUAAGUUGAUUUUGGUUUUCCCAUCUUGUAACUAUGGAAGGCUUUUCUCCUAGAAGACCUAAUAAUUUAACAGGCUCAUUUGUUCUUCUUGGUCUGUGCAAAACAAAUCUUGGUGUGUAAAGGGGAUGGUGGCUUAGAGACACAAAAGCAAAAAAUACAUUUAAAAAAGUUCAGCCUGCCGGCUGGAUUGAGAGCAGAGAAGCCUGCCCCUCCCCCCUCUUUGCAAUUUCCAGACAAAGGGUGCCUGCUGAUGUACAGUAGACGCAGAGAAUUCCUCGAAGGCUGGCGUGCGGAGGGAGGGUUGACACACACGUGGCCAAUGCCAUCACUCGGGGUCAGGCCUGCGAAAUCUGGCCAAGAGGAACUUAGGGUUUGCCAUUAAGAUGGCUUAACUGAAUCAGCACCAGCUUCCAUGCCACCGCGAAGCUGCAAAGCAGCAAAGCAGCAGCCUGCAGUGAAAGGAGAGAUCCCAGGAAUAAGGAUGACAAAAGUCAAGAUUUAGGGUUCAGUUCCAGCUGAUUUUAUUUCCUUCUCAAAAAAAGUUAUUUACAGAAGGUAUAUAGGAACAACCUGACAGGCAGUGACGGACAGGAUUAGCUGGCAUGAUUUUUUUUCUUUUUCUCUUCCCCCAAAUAUUGUUUUUUGUUUUUUUUUUUGUUUUUUUUUUUUUGCUUUUUUUUGUGGCCUUGAAUUUUAAGACAAAUAUUCUACACGGCAUAUUGCACAGGAUGGAUGGUUAAAAAAAAAGAAAUAAAAAAAGAAAGGAAAAAAAAGAGUUUUAAAACAAAAACCCUUAACGGAACUGCCUCUUAAAAGGCAGGCGUCCUCGUGCCUGUCAUGUUAUAUUAAACAUACAUACACACAAUCUUUUUGCUUAUUAUAAUACAGACUUAAAUGUACAAAGAUGUUUUCCACUUUUUUCAAUCUUUAAACACAACAGCUAUAAACCUGAACACAUAUGCUAUCACCAUGCCAUAGGACUGAAACAAUUAUAUUUAGCGACAAGUAGAAAGGAUUAAAUAGUCAAAUACAAGAAUGAAAACGCAGUACAUUGUGUCGCGAACUCAAAUCGGCAUUUAGAUAGAUCCAGUGGUUUAAACGGCACGUUUUUGCUUUAUAAAAAAAAGUGCAAAAAAGAUGUGGUUUACAAGUUAAAGCUACAGAAUCCCUUUUUGCUGUGAAUGCACCAGUUUUAAAAACCUCUGGACAGAACAGCAAUUCGUUAAAAAAAAAAAAUUUUUUUUUUUAAAGCAUUAUGGUGCUGGGCUGAACUCUCCUCCCCUUAUAAGACCAGGGGGUUGAAAGGUGGAAACCGGUGGCAGGUUAAGGGAUACUGUCACUUUAAGAAGCCUGCAGAUUGAAGUGUAAACAUGGAGAAACCAGGGGCUGAUUUUUCAAACUGUGUGAGAUAUUAACCAGCCACCCUAUUAUAAAAUCAGGAAAUCCAAACAGCGAUUUACACCGAUUAACACCCCCUUUAUAUAUUUUUUACAAAAAUACACUGAGAAAAUAAUCAAACGUUUUCAUCUCUCUUGUCAUUUUUUGUUUUUUAAAAGUGUCAAAAGUCUACAUUUAAAUAUAAAAAAUUAAAAGUUAAAACUCUAGCCCUUCAGUGAAGGAGACGUAAAAUGGCGUGGGUAACAACACUAGAAAAAAAAAAAAAA
Molecule: long non-coding RNA, 2235 nt
Organism: Mus musculus (house mouse)
Lineage: Eukaryota; Metazoa; Chordata; Mammalia; Rodentia; Muridae
Product: predicted gene, 46406
Exons: 2
Source: RefSeq, a predicted model, not a curated record